RNAcentral lists this ribosomal RNA (253 nucleotides) under uncultured bacterium. RNAcentral describes it as "partial 16S ribosomal RNA". It matches the Rfam family "Bacterial small subunit ribosomal RNA", at positions 524 to 776 of the family's 1533-position model. The record is from RNAcentral.
UACGUAGGGUGCAAGCGUUGUCCGGAAUUAUUGGGCGUAAAGAGCUCGUAGGCGGUCUGUCGCGUCUGCUGUGAAAACUCAGGGCUUAACCCUGAGCUUGCAGUGGGUACGGGCAGACUAGAGUGCGGUAGGGGAGACUGGAAUCCCUGGUGUAGCGGUGAAAUGCGCAGAUAUCAGGAGGAACACCGGUGGCGAAGGCGGUUCUCUGGGCAUUACCUGACGCUGAGGAGCGAAAGUGUGGGGAGCGAACAGG